ACUAACAGUUCAUAAGAUUAGCAUACAUAUUAAGAGUUGGUCGAAGGAACACAAAGCAAUUUAAAGCAUAUUAUGGAGAGGGUAUCAUUCAAGGUCCUUGCUCCUGCUGCUUUAGCAUUACUAAUCAUCUUAAUGAUUACUAUUACUUGCCAAGCUGGUCCAGUGGAUGAAAUAACAUCAACAACAACUACCACUGUCGAGACGGUUUUGAAUUGCAAACAAGCAGGGGACUAUUGUAACACACUCUUUUCUGGCCAAGAUUGUUGUGACGAUUCUAAAUGUGCUCAAGCUCCUCUUGUAGGUGGUCGGUGUCAAAAACUCAAAAACUAAGAGUUAACAACAUACUCCAUAGGUGUUGGUGCCUCACUAUCUCUCAACACCUUGGCUUAUUUCACUUUGUGCAUGCAUUAUCUAGCUUACUAAAACAAAAAUGUGGAUAAAGAGGCUCUAGUCGAUUUCCCAUUUUUGUUUUUCAUAUUGCGUCAGAGAGUCUCUUCUCUAGCCAGUUUCUUUGCUUUUCUGUCGAGUUUGUAUCACUCAAGAUUGAGAUGUUUUCAAUUUCAUUGUGUGCUUUGUCUUCAAUUUAAUAAAGUAAAUUAUAUUUUGA
Beta vulgaris subsp. vulgaris (sugar beet) is the source of this 607-nucleotide long non-coding RNA. RefSeq lists it as uncharacterized. The record is from RefSeq and is a predicted model, not a curated record. The transcript has 2 exons. NCBI's taxonomy places the organism in Eukaryota, Viridiplantae, Streptophyta, Magnoliopsida, Caryophyllales, Amaranthaceae.